RNAcentral lists this long non-coding RNA (383 nucleotides) under Homo sapiens (human). RNAcentral describes it as "non-protein coding lnc-TNFRSF21-4:3". The record is from RNAcentral. Lineage: Eukaryota; Metazoa; Chordata; Mammalia; Primates; Hominidae.
GUCCAGGUGCAGCGAGCGGAUGAGGAAGCGGUGCAGAGGAGCUUGGGCUCGCUCUCCCCCCGGAGGCUCGGAACAGCUUGGGCGGGCGUUUGGUCUGGUUUGUCGCCUCAGAUGGAUCAAAAGGUUUCUGCUGAUAGGCAAAGUUGCCCCACUUUCCGCGGCGGCGACGCGGAGUUACUUUCUGCAGCGAAGCAGCCUCGAGGACCUUAAAGGGAAAAGGCGGACAGAAGGAGGGCGAGCGCACUUGAUUUCGACCUUUAAGGGAGGCCCAGAUGCUGCCAGGCCCCUCAGUUUACCUUGCGAAGUUACUUACGGAUCAGCAGCAUUUGGUCUUCGUCGGGUGAGGGAGAAACCUAGGCAUCAAAUAAAUUCUGUUUCACAGA